RNAcentral lists this ribosomal RNA (253 nucleotides) under uncultured bacterium. RNAcentral's name for it is "partial 16S ribosomal RNA". It matches the Rfam family "Bacterial small subunit ribosomal RNA", at positions 524 to 776 of the family's 1533-position model. The record is from RNAcentral.
UACGAACCGUACAAACGUUAUUCGGAAUCACUGGGCUUAAAGGGUGCGUAGGCGGCCAUGUAAGUGAGGUGUGAAAUCCCUCGGCUCAACCGAGGAACUGCGCUUCAUACUGCAUGGCUUGAGGGAGACAGGGGUAAGCGGAACUGAUGGUGGAGCGGUGAAAUGCGUUGAUAUCAUCAGGAACACCGGUGGCGAAAGCGGCUUACUGGGUCUCUUCUGACGCUGAGGUACGAAGGCUAGGGUAGCGAACGGG